ACGAACGCUGGCGGCGUGCCUAACACAUGCAAGUCGAGCGAAUGAAGUUCCUUCGGGAAUGGAUUUAGCGGCGGACGGGUGAGUAACACGUGGGCAACCUGCCUCAUAGAGGGGAAUAGCCUCCCGAAAGGGAGAUUAAUACCGCAUAAGAUUGUAGUACCGCAUGAUACAGCAAUUAAAGGAGCAAUCCGCUAUGAGAUGGGCCCGCGGCGCAUUAGCUAGUUGGUGAGGUAAUGGCUCACCAAGGCGACGAUGCGUAGCCGACCUGAGAGGGUGAUCGGCCACAUUGGGACUGAGACACGGCCCAGACUCCGACGGGAGGCAGCAGUGGGGAAUAUUGCACAAUGGGGGAAACCCUGAUGCAGCAACGCCGCGUGAGUGAUGACGGCCUUCGGGUUGUAAAGCUCUGUCUUCAGGGACGAUAAUGACGGUACCUGAGGAGGAAGCCACGGCUAACUACGU
RNAcentral lists this ribosomal RNA (462 nucleotides) under uncultured bacterium. RNAcentral's name for it is "partial 16S ribosomal RNA". It matches the Rfam family "Bacterial small subunit ribosomal RNA", at positions 29 to 506 of the family's 1533-position model. The record is from RNAcentral.